CUACGUAGGGGGCGAGCGUUGGCCGGAUUGAUUGGGCGUAAAGGGCGCGUAGGCGGCCCGGUAAGUCUGUAGUGAUAGUCGUGUACUGAAGAGGGGAAUUGCGUUGGAUACUGUCGGGCUUGCGUGCAGUAGAGGGAAGUGGAAUUCCCAGUGUAUCGGUGGAAUGCGUUGAGAUUGGGAGGAACACCAGUGGCGAAAGCGACUUACUGGACUGUAACUGACGCUGAGGCGCGAAAGUGUGGGGAGCAAACAGGAUUAGAUACCCUGGUAGUCCACACUGUAAACGAUGAAUGCUAGGUGUAGGGGGUAUCGACCCCUUCUGUGCCGCAGUCAACACAAUAAGCAUUCCGCCUGGGGAGUACGGCCGCAAGGUUGAAACUCAAAGGAAUUGACGGGG
Molecule: ribosomal RNA, 397 nt
Filed under: uncultured bacterium
Lineage: Bacteria
Description: partial 16S ribosomal RNA
Rfam family: Bacterial small subunit ribosomal RNA
Source: RNAcentral